This 302-nucleotide ribosomal RNA is filed under the name uncultured bacterium. RNAcentral's name for it is "partial 16S ribosomal RNA". It matches the Rfam family "Bacterial small subunit ribosomal RNA", at positions 508 to 807 of the family's 1533-position model. The record is from RNAcentral.
GCAGCAGCCGCGGGAAUACGAAGGGGGCUAGCGUUGUUCGGAAUUACUGGGCGUAAAGGGCGCGUAGGCGGCCAUUCAAGUUAGAUGUGAAAGCCCUGGGCUCAACCUAGGAAUUGCAUUUGAUACUGUUUGGCUUGAGUUCGGGAGAGGUGAGUGGAAUUCCCAGUGUAGAGGUGAAAUUCGUAGAUAUUGGGAAGAACACCAGUGGCGAAGGCGGCUCACUGGACCGACACUGACGCUGAGGCGCGAAAGCGUGGGGAGCAAACAGGAUUAGAGACCCCCGUAGUCCCUGUCUCUUAUAC